RNAcentral lists this long non-coding RNA (772 nucleotides) under Amborella trichopoda. RNAcentral's name for it is "long non-coding RNA (ATRI_LNC005514)". The record is from RNAcentral. Lineage: Eukaryota; Viridiplantae; Streptophyta; Magnoliopsida; Amborellales; Amborellaceae.
CAGAAUCAGACCCACAAAAUGAAGAAGCACCAAAUAAAUUCAAAACCACCAAUCUCAUUCAUUUAUGCAUGAUCAAAUCGCUUUUAGUCCCAUGAUUCCUUUGCACUCAACGCCAACAACUCCUCCAAAAUCUCCAUCUUAUCAUCAACAUCACCAUCACCAUCACCACCAAAUUCUUCAUCACCGCUAGUAUCAGUAUCCCCAUCAUCGCUAGCAUCAGUAUCCCAAUCAUCAUCAGAAGGCUAUAUUCCUCGUCUUCACCACUUGAAGGCUCAUACUCCUCGUCUUCACCACUUGAAUCCCAAUAUACAGAGGGGAAAUCCAAAGCCUCCCCCUCCACUUCCUCAAAUAAACAUGUCUUCCUCACCCGGGUUUCUCAGGGCUCUGCAUGGCGAGAACGGUCUGCAACCUCUCCUUCAACAUUAGGGUUUCGCUCACUGCGAUGGCCUUCUUCUUUGGGAGCCUGCAACCUUCGACGGCCUCCAUGUCGUGUAUGAGGUUGUGUAUGGCUGCUGCAUACGCUUGGUCCUCGGUUUUGUAUACUCCAUGAACCGAGUCUUUGUUGGUGCCCUGGUGGAGCCUAACCAGGAUAUAAGCGGGCGAGGGUUCGGCCAGGCCCGGUGAUGGGCUCAGCUCAUGGGCCACCAUUUACCUUAUUUUCUCUUGCCUGUCAAGUGAGAGAGAGGGAACUAACGCGUACUGUGUAGAGAGAGAGAGCAAGGGUUUUGUAGUGAGCACUGCAGAGGUUUUGGAGUGGGGUCGAGACCGUUGG